This 1461-nucleotide ribosomal RNA is filed under the name Limosilactobacillus fermentum. RNAcentral describes it as "bacterial SSU rRNA". It matches the Rfam family "Bacterial small subunit ribosomal RNA". The record is from RNAcentral. Lineage: Bacteria; Bacillati; Bacillota; Bacilli; Lactobacillales; Lactobacillaceae.
GUGCCUAAUACAUGCAAGUCGAACGCGUUGGCCCAAUUGAUUGACGGUGCUUGCACCUGAUUGAUUUUGGUCGCCAACGAGUGGCGGACGGGUGAGUAACACGUAGGUAACCUGCCCAGAAGCGGGGGACAACAUUUGGAAACAGAUGCUAAUACCGCAUAACAGCGUUGUUCGCAUGAACAACGCUUAAAAGAUGGCUUCUCGCUAUCACUUCUGGAUGGACCUGCGGUGCAUUAGCUUGUUGGUGGGGUAACGGCCUACCAAGGCGAUGAUGCAUAGCCGAGUUGAGAGACUGAUCGGCCACAAUGGGACUGAGACACGGCCCAUACUCCUACGGGAGGCAGCAGUAGGGAAUCUUCCACAAUGGGCGCAAGCCUGAUGGAGCAACACCGCGUGAGUGAAGAAGGGUUUCGGCUCGUAAAGCUCUGUUGUUAAAGAAGAACACGUAUGAGAGUAACUGUUCAUACGUUGACGGUAUUUAACCAGAAAGUCACGGCUAACUACGUGCCAGCAGCCGCGGUAAUACGUAGGUGGCAAGCGUUAUCCGGAUUUAUUGGGCGUAAAGAGAGUGCAGGCGGUUUUCUAAGUCUGAUGUGAAAGCCUUCGGCUUAACCGGAGAAGUGCAUCGGAAACUGGAUAACUUGAGUGCAGAAGAGGGUAGUGGAACUCCAUGUGUAGCGGUGGAAUGCGUAGAUAUAUGGAAGAACACCAGUGGCGAAGGCGGCUACCUGGUCUGCAACUGACGCUGAGACUCGAAAGCAUGGGUAGCGAACAGGAUUAGAUACCCUGGUAGUCCAUGCCGUAAACGAUGAGUGCUAGGUGUUGGAGGGUUUCCGCCCUUCAGUGCCGGAGCUAACGCAUUAAGCACUCCGCCUGGGGAGUACGACCGCAAGGUUGAAACUCAAAGGAAUUGACGGGGGCCCGCACAAGCGGUGGAGCAUGUGGUUUAAUUCGAAGCUACGCGAAGAACCUUACCAGGUCUUGACAUCUUGCGCCAACCCUAGAGAUAGGGCGUUUCCUUCGGGAACGCAAUGACAGGUGGUGCAUGGUCGUCGUCAGCUCGUGUCGUGAGAUGUUGGGUUAAGUCCCGCAACGAGCGCAACCCUUGUUACUAGUUGCCAGCAUUAAGUUGGGCACUCUAGUGAGACUGCCGGUGACAAACCGGAGGAAGGUGGGGACGACGUCAGAUCAUCAUGCCCCUUAUGACCUGGGCUACACACGUGCUACAAUGGACGGUACAACGAGUCGCGAACUCGCGAGGGCAAGCAAAUCUCUUAAAACCGUUCUCAGUUCGGACUGCAGGCUGCAACUCGCCUGCACGAAGUCGGAAUCGCUAGUAAUCGCGGAUCAGCAUGCCGCGGUGAAUACGUUCCCGGGCCUUGUACACACCGCCCGUCACACCAUGAGAGUUUGUAACACCCAAAGUCGGUGGGGUAACCUUUUAGGAGCCAGCCGCCUAAG